UGGCUCUCGCAUCGAUGAAGAACGCAGCGAAUUGCGAUAUGUAAUGUGAAUUGCAGAAUUCAGUGAAUCAUCGAAUCUUUGAACGCACCUUGCGCCCUGUGGUAUUCCACAGGGCACGCCUGUUUGAGUGUCACGUUAAUCUCUCACCCUUGGACUGUUCGCGCGGUUCAUGUCGGUGGAUUUGGGUGCUGCCGUCGUUGGCUCGCCUUGAAAUGCAUUAGCCUUUGGCUCCCGUGCGGGGUCGUCGCGGUGUGAUAGUUCUUUGCAUCGUAGACUUUGCGCAGACCGAGGCUUAUAAUCGUCCUCUGCGGGACAAAUAUUCGAACCUUGACCUCAAAUCAGGUGGGACUACCCGCUGA
Molecule: unclassified non-coding RNA, 359 nt
Filed under: uncultured fungus
Lineage: Eukaryota; Fungi
Description: partial contains 5.8S ribosomal RNA and internal transcribed spacer 2
Rfam family: 5.8S ribosomal RNA (bases 1-133)
Source: RNAcentral